GAAACACCUGCAGUCGAGAUUCCUACGGGAGGCAGCAGUGGGGAAUCUUAGACAAUGGGCGCAAGCCUGAUCUAGCCAUGCUGCGUGAGUGAUGAAGGCCCUAGGGUCGUAAAGCUCUUUCGCCAGAGAUGAUAAUGACAGUAUCUGGUAAAGAAACCCCGGCUAACUCCGUGCCAGCAGCCGCGGUAAUACGGAGGGGGUUAGCGUUGUUCGGAAUUACUGGGCGUAAAGCGCGCGUAGGCGGACUAUUAAGUUAGAGGUGAAAUCCCAGGGCUCAACCCUGGAACUGCCUUUAAUACUGGUAGUCUUGAGUUCGAGAGAGGUGAGUGGAAUUCCAAGUGUAGAGGUGAAAUUCGUAGAUAUUUGGAGGAACACCAGUGGCGAAGGCGGCUCACUGGCUCGAUACUGACGCUGAGGUGCGAAAGUGUGGGGAGCAAACAGGAUUAGAUACCCUGGUAGUCCACACCGUAAACGAUGAAUGCCAGUCGUCGGGUAGCAUGCUGCUCGGUGACACACCUAACGGAUUAAGCAUUCCGCCAGGGGAGUACGGUCGCAAGAUUAAAACUCAAAUGAAUUGACGG
This 581-nucleotide ribosomal RNA is filed under the name Thalassobacter sp. ZJ1002B29. Its description in RNAcentral is "bacterial SSU rRNA". It matches the Rfam family "Bacterial small subunit ribosomal RNA", at positions 321 to 916 of the family's 1533-position model. The record is from RNAcentral. RNAcentral also lists the same sequence under 1 other name. Lineage: Bacteria; Pseudomonadati; Pseudomonadota; Alphaproteobacteria; Rhodobacterales; Roseobacteraceae.